RNAcentral lists this ribosomal RNA (157 nucleotides) under uncultured bacterium. RNAcentral's name for it is "partial 16S ribosomal RNA". It matches the Rfam family "Bacterial small subunit ribosomal RNA", at positions 356 to 504 of the family's 1533-position model. The record is from RNAcentral.
AGGGAAUCUUCGGCAAUGGGGGCAACCCUGACCGAGCAACGCCGCGUGAGUGAAGAAGGUUUUCGGAUCGUAAAGCUCUGUUGUAAGAGAAGAACGUGUGUGAGAGUGGAAAGUUCACACAGUGACGGUAACUUACCAGAAAGGGACGGCUAACUAC